RNAcentral lists this transfer RNA (87 nucleotides) under Chloroflexota bacterium. RNAcentral's name for it is "Chloroflexi bacterium tRNA-Ser". It matches the Rfam family "tRNA". Rfam says of the family: Transfer RNA (tRNA) molecules are approximately 80 nucleotides in length. Their secondary structure includes four short double-helical elements and three loops (D, anti-codon, and T loops). Lineage: Bacteria; Bacillati; Chloroflexota. The record is from RNAcentral.
GGAGAGGUGGCCGAGUGGUUGAAGGCGCCGCUCUCGAAAAGCGGUAAGUCAAAAGCUUCGUGGGUUCGAAUCCCACCCUCUCCGCCG